RNAcentral lists this ribosomal RNA (445 nucleotides) under uncultured bacterium. Its description in RNAcentral is "SSU rRNA". It matches the Rfam family "Bacterial small subunit ribosomal RNA", at positions 26 to 518 of the family's 1533-position model. The record is from RNAcentral.
AGAGCGAACGCUGGCGGCAGGCCUAACACAUGCAAGUCGAACGCACCUUCGGGUGAGUGGCGGACGGGUGAGUAACACGUGGGAACGUACCUUUUGGUUCGGAAUAACGCAGGGAAACUUGCGCUAAUACCGAAUGUGCUCCGUAAGGAGGAAAGAUUUAUCGCCAUUAGAGCGGCCCGCGUUAGAUUAGCUAGUUGGUGAGGUAAAGGCUCACCAAGGCUACGAUCUAUAGCUGGUCUGAGAGGAUGAUCAGCCACAUUGGGACUGAGACACGGCCCAAACUCCUACGGGAGGCAGCAGUGGGGAAUCUUGCGCAAUGGGCGAAAGCCUGACGCAGCCAUGCCGCGUGAAUGAUGAAGGUCUUAGGAUUGUAAAAUUCUUUCAGUAGGGACGAUAAUGACGGUACCUACAGAAGAAGCCCGGCUAACUUCGUGCCAGCAGCCGC